AGUGAACGCUGGCGGUAGGCCUAACACAUGCAAGUCGAACGGCAGCACAGUAAGAGCUUGCUCUUACGGGUGGCGAGUGGCGGACGGGUGAGGAAUACAUCGGAAUCUACUUUUUCGUGGGGGAUAACGUAGGGAAACUUACGCUAAUACCGCAUACGACCUACGGGUGAAAGCAGGGGAUCUUCGGACCUUGCGCGAUUGAAUGAGCCGAUGUCGGAUUAGCUAGUUGGCGGGGUAAAGGCCCACCAAGGCGACGAUCCGUAGCUGGUCUGAGAGGAUGAUCAGCCACACUGGAACUGAGACACGGUCCAGACGCCUACGGGAGGCAGCAGUGGGGAAUAUGGGACAAUGGGCGCAAGCCUUAUCCAGCCAUACCGCGUGGGUGAAGAAGGCCUUCGGGUUGUAAAGCCCUUUUGUUGGGAAAGAAAAGCAGCAGGUUAAUACCCCGCUGUUCUGACGGUACCCAAAGAAUAAGCACCGGCUAACUUCGUG
RNAcentral lists this ribosomal RNA (492 nucleotides) under uncultured bacterium. Its description in RNAcentral is "partial 16S ribosomal RNA". It matches the Rfam family "Bacterial small subunit ribosomal RNA", at positions 29 to 507 of the family's 1533-position model. The record is from RNAcentral.